This 473-nucleotide ribosomal RNA is filed under the name uncultured Alphaproteobacteria bacterium. Its description in RNAcentral is "bacterial SSU rRNA". It matches the Rfam family "Bacterial small subunit ribosomal RNA", at positions 8 to 501 of the family's 1533-position model. The record is from RNAcentral. Lineage: Bacteria; Pseudomonadati; Pseudomonadota; Alphaproteobacteria.
AGAGUUUGAUCCUGGCUCAGAACGAACGCUGGCGGCAGGCCUAACACAUGCAAGUCGAGCGCUGAAGCGGACUUCGGUUCGUGGAUGAGCGGCAGACGGGUGAGUAACGCGUGGGAACCUGCCCUGGGGUCUGGGACAACCCGUGGAAACGCGGGCUAAUACCGGAUGAUGCAUCAUUGGUGGUUCUUUGAUGUCAAAGAUUUAUUGCCCUGGGAUGGGCCCGCGUCGGAUUAGGUAGUUGGUGAGGUAACGGCUCACCAAGCCGACGAUCCGUAGCUGGUUUGAGAGGAUGAUCAGCCACACUGGGACUGAGACACGGCCCAGACUCCUACGGGAGGCAGCAGUGGGGAAUAUUGGACAAUGGGGGCAACCCUGAUCCAGCCAUGCCGCGUGAGGGAUGAAGGCCUUAGGGUUGUAAACCUCUUUCAGCGGGGAAGAUAAUGACGGUACCCGCAGAAGAAGCCCCGGCUAAC